Molecule: transfer RNA, 85 nt
Filed under: Actinomycetota bacterium
Lineage: Bacteria; Bacillati; Actinomycetota
Also listed under: 1 other name
Description: Actinobacteria bacterium tRNA-Leu
Rfam family: tRNA
About the family: Transfer RNA (tRNA) molecules are approximately 80 nucleotides in length. Their secondary structure includes four short double-helical elements and three loops (D, anti-codon, and T loops).
Source: RNAcentral
GCGGGCGUGGCGGAACUGGCAGACGCGCAGGGUUUAGGUCCCUGUAUCGAAAGAUGUGAGGGUUCGAGUCCCUCCGCCCGCACCA